This 355-nucleotide ribosomal RNA is filed under the name uncultured bacterium. Its description in RNAcentral is "bacterial SSU rRNA". It matches the Rfam family "Bacterial small subunit ribosomal RNA", at positions 442 to 793 of the family's 1533-position model. The record is from RNAcentral.
AACACGUAUGAGAGUAACUGUUCAUACGUUGACGGUAUUUAACCAGAAAGUCACGGCUAACUACGUGCCAGCAGCCGCGGUAAUACGUAGGUGGCAAGCGUUAUCCGGAUUUAUUGGGCGUAAAGAGAGUGCAGGCGGUUUUCUUAAGUCUGAUGUGAAAGCCUUCGGCUUAACCGGAGAAGUGCAUCGGAAACUGGAUAACUUGAGUGCAGAAGAGGGUAGUGGAACUCCAUGUGUAGCGGUGGAAUGCGUAGAUAUAUGGAAGGAACACCAGUGGCGAAGGCGGCUACCUGGUCUGCAACUGACGCUGAGACUCGAAAGCAUGGGUAGCGAACAGGAUUAGAUACCCUGGUAG